Molecule: non-coding RNA, 32 nt
Filed under: Chryseobacterium gleum ATCC 35910
Lineage: Bacteria; Pseudomonadati; Bacteroidota; Flavobacteriia; Flavobacteriales; Weeksellaceae
Description: DUF805b RNA
Rfam family: DUF805b RNA
About the family: Bacteroidetes, Chlorobi (1 example), Proteobacteria. Lineage (Flavobacteria)
Source: RNAcentral
AUAGAGAUGUCCGAAAAUCUAAAGAGUAGGAA